RNAcentral lists this ribosomal RNA (492 nucleotides) under uncultured bacterium. RNAcentral's name for it is "partial 16S ribosomal RNA". It matches the Rfam family "Bacterial small subunit ribosomal RNA", at positions 29 to 507 of the family's 1533-position model. The record is from RNAcentral.
AGUGAACGCUGGCGGUAGGCCUAACACAUGCAAGUCGAACGGCAGCACAGUAAGAGCUUGCUCUUACGGGUGGCGAGUGGCGGACGGGUGAGGAAUACAUCGGAAUCUACUUUUUCGUGGGUGAUAACGUAGGGAAACUUACGCUAAUACCGCAUACGACCUACGGGUGAAAGCAGUGGAUCUUCGGACCUUGCGCGAUUGAAUGAGCCGAUCUCGGAUUAGCUAGUUGGCGGGGUAAAGGCCCACCAAUUCGACGAUCCGUAGCUGGUCUGAGAGGAUGAUCAGCCACACUGGAACUGAAACACGGUCCAGACUCCUACGGGAGGCAGCAGUGGGGAAUAUUGGGCAAUAGGCGCAAGCAUGCUCCAGCCAUCCCGCGUGGGUGAAGAAGGCCUUAGCGUUGUAAAGCCCUUUUGUUGGGAAAGAAAAGCAGCAGGUUAAUACCCAGCUGUUCUGACGGUACCCAACGAAUAAGCACCGGCUAACUUCGUG